GACGAACGCUGGCGGCGUGCUUAACACAUGCAAGUCGAACGGAAAGGCCCUGCUUUUGUGGGGUUCUCGAGUGGCGAACGGGUGAGUAACACGUGAGUAACCUGCCCUUGACUUUGGGAUAACUUCAGGAAACUGGGGCUAAUACCGGAUAGGAGCUCCUGCUGCAUGGUGGGGGUUGGAAAGUUUCGGCGGUUGGGGAUGGAUUCGCGGCUUAUCCGCUUGUUGGUGGGGUAGUGGCUUACCAAGGCUUUGACGGGUAGCCGGCCUGAGAGGGUGACCGGCCACAUUGGGACUGAGAGACGGCCCAGACUCCUACGGGAGGCAGCAGUGGGGAAUAUUGCACAAUGGGCGGAAGCCUGAUGCAGCAACGCCGCGUGCGGGAUGACGGCCUUCGGGUUGUAAACCGCUUUCGCCUGUGACGAAGCGUGAGUGACGGUAAUGGGUAAAGAAGCACCGGCUAACUACGUG
Molecule: ribosomal RNA, 468 nt
Filed under: uncultured bacterium
Lineage: Bacteria
Description: partial 16S ribosomal RNA
Rfam family: Bacterial small subunit ribosomal RNA
Source: RNAcentral